UGGUGAUGAAGGUAAAUUUAAGGCAUGUUUCUCAUAACAUUCGCAGUUGCCGCCUAAGAGUUUUUGGCUUUUUGCCUUACCAGGCUUCGAGAGAUAAUCUUGUUAAAUCCUUCUUUAGAUGUUUGAGCCU
This 130-nucleotide small nucleolar RNA is filed under the name Leersia perrieri. RNAcentral's name for it is "snoRNA SNORD14". Lineage: Eukaryota; Viridiplantae; Streptophyta; Magnoliopsida; Poales; Poaceae. The record is from RNAcentral.